Long non-coding RNA from Sciurus carolinensis (gray squirrel), 5643 nucleotides. RefSeq lists it as uncharacterized. NCBI's taxonomy places the organism in Eukaryota, Metazoa, Chordata, Mammalia, Rodentia, Sciuridae. The record is from RefSeq and is a predicted model, not a curated record. The transcript is spliced from 3 exons.
AUGUGCAUGUCCACCGAGAAACAGCCCUUGGCGGACACUGGUGAUGUCUGCACAGAGUGGCCUCAAGGAUGUGGUUGGCGCUCUGUCAGGAUCUCGGAGGACUGGCUGGGCAGCAGUCUGCAAGAGUCACAGGAGUAACACUCAGCCCGGGAAGACUUUGCCUUGACCAAACAAACAAACAGAGAUCUCUGGAUGGUGAGUCAGGGCUCGUGUGCUUCCUGCAACGUGGAAGCAGAACUUCAGCCAUAAUAGCUCAGGAUCACCAGGAGCUUAUCGGUGAGGUGGACUUAGAAAGAGCAGAGCACAUGGCAGGUGUGCACAGAGAACUAUCCUAUGGUGAUGCAAAGGCAGCUUCUCUUCUCCUCUCUGUCUCCUCUCUUCUGACCCACAUUCUGAGCGCCAGCUGCAGGACUUCUGCCACUGUAGCACACAGGGAUGUGUCCGGAGGUGCUAGGAGGCACCGUGAGACUUGGGUGUGAGACGUGACCCACGUUUGAUCCCCCUCCCAGUUCCUGACAGCCCCUCCAUCCCUUGCUGAUGGGAGUGCCUUUUCUUCUGAUGAGGCGACUUGGAGGGCUGUCACCAGAAGACCAUGCCAGGAUGGGAUGCUUGGAAAUUUCAGCUCCAUAUCCCUGCUCAGGGAAGGAGAAAGGAAUGAGGAUCGGGUUAAUAAGCCAUCAGGCUUAAGUGAAGCCCCCGUAAAAAAAUAUCCACAGGACUUGUGGUGGUGGACCUGCAGAGGAGAAGGUAGCGAGGGGCACCUGGAGAGGGCAGGGCACCCUGUGCCUGGGCCCCUCCCGACCCCUGCCUCUUUGUGUCUCUUCCUUCUGGCUGUUCUGGGUUGUAUCCUUUAUAAUAAAUGUGUAACAAGAGUAAAUGUUUCCCUGGGUUUCGUGAGCCAUCAUGUGAAUGAGCCAAGAAGGGGAUGGUGGGGGCCCCUGCUCUGUAGCCAGUUGCUCAGAAGUUGCGGAGGGCUGCACUUGUGGUCGAUGUCUGAAGUGGGACUGGUCUUUUGGGGCUGAACUCUCAACCUUGGGUUCUGCACGAGCUCCAGGCAGUUAGCAUCAGUAUUGAGUUAUCUUGUAGGACAGAGAGUUGGUGUCCACCAUGGCUUGGACACUUCGUAUGGGAAAAAUGCCCACAUACUUGGUGUCAGAAGUACUUGGAGUUUGAGAAAAUAGAUUUUGUUGUUCCUUUGGUCUUUUGAUCCUGCCCAUUUGGGUGGGGAAAGUCUGCAGCUUUAUUGGCUGGCCACAGCAAACAUAAUUCAGGGAGAGCGACAGAGCAGGUAGCUAUGGAAGAUUUCAGAAAUAAGAGUCAAGGGAAAGGGUGUCAGUGACCUUGCCAGGGAUACCAGCUCUGUGUUUAGUGUUUGCUGAAUGUACUUAUUUUUCCUGUGUCUCUUGUAAGCAGUCUGCAACUGGAUUUUUUAAGAGUGGAUUUUUUUGGGCUGGGAUUGUAGCUCAGUGGUACAGGGUUUGCCUAGCAUGUGUGAGGCACUGGGUUCGAUUUUCAGCACCACAUAUAAAUAAAUAAAUACAAUAAAGGCCCAUCAACAACUAAAAAAUACUUAAAAAAUGGAUCUUUACCUUUUUAGUGAGGUAUUUCAUCCAUUUAUACUUAUUGCCAUUGUUGUGUUUGGAUUAAUUUCUACGACCUUAUUUCGUGCUGUCAAUGUUCUAUUGUUUUGGUCUGUUUUUGAAAUCUACUCAGUUUUUCCUUCUAUCAUUUCAUUUCCCCCCUCAUUCCCACAUUUGCAAGUUAUACCAUCUGUUUACAUCUUUUUAGGGGUUCCUUCAGAAGCUAAAGCAUAGGAAACCGUCAACUGAAACCUUUACCCUCCUCCUGGACAAUACCGAGAUUUGGAAAACGUUCAGUCUGGUCACUCUCCUGCCUUAGAUGAAUUGCCUGGGACUCCAGGUCGAUCUGAACACUCAGCCCCAGGAGACAUUCCCCUGCCCCUCCUGUGACUGACGGUCAUUGCAGUUUGCCCACACAUUUCCCCACGUCCUCUUGCGUCCUUGCUGCCUCUCUUAGACCUUCUGUCUGAAAUCACUUUCCUUCCACCUGAUGUAUAUUUCUAAGAAUUCCUUUGAAUUUGGGUCUGCUGGGGAGGAAAAUGGUUGGCACCUGCUCUGUUCCUACAUCGAGCGGCCUCAGCUUCACAUGGAGGGAGCCUCCCUUGUGACACUUAUCCCUCUGCUUUGAUAGGCUUUUGCUUUCAACCAUCUUUUGUUUUCAUUUAAUUGAUUAAUUAAUUUCUCUCUCUCUCUUUUUUUUGAGGUGGUUCUUGCUGUUGCCCAGUUUGGCUGAAGCCAUCCUCCUGCCUCAGACUCCCGAGUAGCUGGGACCACAGGGCCCAGUUUUUGCUUUUGCUUUAAUGCAUUCUUAGAAGGGAGAGAAAAAGCUCAUGCUCAAUCUACUGUCUUGUUUUAUACAGAACUCCUGUGCUUAUUUCCUCAUUCAUGUUUUUUCUCUAUUUUUUGCAGAACUUGCUAUAUCAUUCACAAAUAUUUCACAUUUUAUUGUCAUGAAGAAGGAAACAUCACCUCAGCUGGCACCUAGGUGCCAUUGUGCCAUUCAAUGCAGCUUCAGUGAAUGAAGAAAUGAGUAAAGCAAAUUCUCUUGGGCAACCUUCAGAAAACCUGACCAUUGAAUGAUUUCUCAAAAAGUCCUAAAUUUUAAGGACAAAAAAAAAAAAAGAUAAAGGAAAUAUAAGAAAAUAUGUAGUGUUUACUAUAACGUCCCCCUUUUUUUAGUUAAUCAAAUGGCUCUAUUUCAUGUGCUAAUUUGUCUUACUUAAGUGCACAUUGGAUGGUAAGAAAACCUCUUAUUGAGAUUUAUGAUUUCCAGAAUGCUUCUGAGGACAUUUCCAUGUUUCCACAACCCCCUACCCAGGGAUGCAGGCCAUCAUUCUUGACCCUACUUUACAGGUCAUCGAGUCAAAGUUUCCAUGGGACUUGAUGGGCAUGCAACGAGGUGGGCUGAGCCUGGCCUUCCAUUUUCUGGCUCAAAGCCUUUCCAAGGUUCUGCUCUGCCUGCAGCUCAGCUCAUCCUCACCGCCACGUACUUGAGCAGGGAAGUUAUGGGAGCCGGAGAGAAUUUGCACUUUGACUGCCUUGGAUGUUGCGGUUCACUGACUCGGGGGACGCCAAACUCGGGAUGGCUCCAAGCAGGCUUCACAUCCACCAGCCACAUUUUCCUUAGUGCCACUGUGAACGCCAUCGUACCCAAGACACAGCACACGAGGCCAGAAAAUGAUCCCACAGUGGCUGGAAGCAUUCAGGUGUGAGGAUCACGCACAUUUCACUUUAAAUCAAAAGCUAGAGAUGCCAAGGCCUGGAGAGGAAGGUGAGUGACAGCCAGACAGACAGACACCAGGCCUCUGUGCACCGAAUGCCCGGUCUCUUGUGCACUCCCCACGGCUCCAAGCUGCAAAUGCGGAGGGAACGUUCUUGAGGGAAGUCAAGGGCACUCUGCAGGGGGCAUGGAGGGUCAGAAAGCCAAUAGUCAGCUCUCUCCAUUCUCUGAAGAUGCAGGUCAGGAAACUGAGGUUGGGUUGGCCCUGGAGGCUGCCCAGAGGCUGAGGAAGGACGUGGGCUGCGCAGUGUCCCCACACAGGGGAGGCAAUGCACUGUCCAGCAGAUCAGCUGAGCCAGGCGGCGAGGUGGCCGCACUGAACAACAGUUCUCAUGUGGACACACAGGCCAAGGUCGGAAGAGGCUGCUGAGGACUUCCAUGCUCGGGAGGGGUCUGGGCCUGGCUUCCAAGCUUCAAAGGACAGGCCCACUCUUGUUGGGGCUGAUGCGUGGGUGACUGUAACUGAAGGCCAGCGCUCACUGACCACCUGGAAAUCGAGGCCCUUGGGGUUGGCAGUGGACCCACCACGUCUUGCUCUGGGAAUGGAGCAGCAAGGCCUGGACCACAGGCCUCUGCUUCCGACGGGGUCCACAUUUUAAGUCCACUGUUGAGAUUUGCUGCUCAGAAACAAGAUCACUUUCAAAAUCUUACUGCUCACCGGCCGCGCACGUGAUCCCCAUGAGCUCUGACGGAGGUGGACGCAGGACCCAGGGUGUCCUGCGCCUGCUGGCACAGCACCCGCUGCCCCCAGGACCGAGGUGUCGUUUUGACUUCAAGUCUUGUUGUUUAGGAAGUGCAUUCUGUAGGGACAUGGGUGCCAUUGAUGGCGAGUCCUCUGAUCUGGGCGAGGCAAACUGAAACCCUGCUGGAGGGAUCCCAUUCUAGAUGCCAGGAAGAACAUCCGUGGUUCACGGGAGGAGGACGAGGUACCAACGUUAACAAGAAGUUGAUUCCAGCAGCUGGGGUUGUAGCUCAGUGGGGAGCGCUUGCCUUGCAUGCACUGGGUUCAAUUCUCAGCACCACACAUAAAUAAAUACAAUAAAGGCCCGUUGACAACUAAAAAAUUUUUUAAAAAAUAAUAAAAGAAGUUGAUUCCAACCCUCAUGGGUGACUGGGGUUCAGGACUUCAGUGGAGAAGGAAAUGCCCAGGCGGUACAUGUGGCAAGAGGACCAGAAUAGGACACAGAACCCGAUGACGUGACUGGGCCCCUGGCCAGCACCUUGAUUAGGUAUAACCUUGCUGCGGCAAAGGUAAGGCACACCAAGCUCUUGGCCCACAGGAAGUGUGAGGUAGGAAAUGUUUACUCCUGAGCCAUCAAGAGAGUGGCAGCAUCACUGGGCAGAACCUAGAGCUAGUACGUGCUCUACUACGCUGCACUUGGACGUGGCCACGGGUUCAGCUCUUAUCUGCAGAGUUCAACAGAGCCAGGUCAGGGUCUGGGAGGGGGUGCCUCCCACUGGGCUCCCCCCAUCCUCACAGCUGGAAUAUGUGGACCAGCACGGAUACUGCAGAGGAGGACGACGUCCUAGCUCAUGGCAGGGAAACCAGCCGGAAGGAAUUGGGCCUCUGCCUUAGUUCGUUCCACUGUUUUAUCUGAAUUGUCCAGACUGGGUCAUUUGUAAGGAGAGGGUUUUUCAUGCCCUGGUUCUGGAGGCUGGAAGCCCAAAACGUGGUGCUGCAGCAUAGCGUGACGGAGGGCAUCCCACGGGGACAGCAGGUGUGCUGGAGCGAGCUUGCCUUAUGACAAGUCCACACCUGCAGUGACCCGUCGCCCACUGCCCAUGGAUGGAUGAACCCAAUCACGAAGGCAGAGCCCUCAAACCCACUCGCCUCCCGAGGUCCUCCCUUUCAGCAUUGGGGACCACGUUUCCAACACACGAACUUACGGAGGACACUUUAACCACAGCACUGCCCUGAUGUGUUGCAGUUUACUGUGGGAGUGACCAUGUGUAAGGAGCCUGGCCACUGUGUAUCCCAGAACAUUCACACUGUUCUGUGGACUGUUACAGGUGAGAGGAGCAACCAUAUAAGUCAUGUACACGGAAGGGUGUUAGGGCUUUUUGUUAUAGCAGCUAGCCUCACUAGUUCCCUUAGAAAUAAAACACAAUUCAAGAAGAAAAUAAAAACCAGCCUACUAGAAAAAUAGGCAAAAGACAAGGGCUCUUCACAAGAAGAGGAAUAUAAUAGGCUACCAAAAGAUGGAAAGUUGCUCCACCUGAUUCUUGUUUUUAAUCUUUUGGAAUGUUUAAUGGAAGAAAAGAUUUUGUAUAUAACAAUAGCAA